UACGUAGGGGGCAAGCGUUAUCCGGAUUUAUUGGGCGUAAAGGGAACGCAGGCGGUCUUUUAAGUCUGAUGUGAAAGCCUUCGGCUUAACCGGAGUAGUGCAUUGGAAACUGGGAGACUUGAGUGCAGAAGAGGAGAGUGGAACUCCAUGUGUAGCGGUGAAAUGCGUAGAUAUAUGGAAGAACACCAGUGGCGAAAGCGGCUCUCUGGUCUGUAACUGACGCUGAGGUUCGAGAGCGUGGGUAGCAAACAGG
Molecule: ribosomal RNA, 253 nt
Filed under: uncultured bacterium
Lineage: Bacteria
Description: partial 16S ribosomal RNA
Rfam family: Bacterial small subunit ribosomal RNA
Source: RNAcentral